RNAcentral lists this ribosomal RNA (330 nucleotides) under uncultured bacterium. Its description in RNAcentral is "bacterial SSU rRNA". It matches the Rfam family "Bacterial small subunit ribosomal RNA", at positions 467 to 793 of the family's 1533-position model. The record is from RNAcentral.
AUUUGACGUUAGCGACAGAAGAAGCACCGGCUAACUCCGUGCCAGCAGCCGCGGUAAUACGGAGGGUGCGAGCGUUAAUCGGAAUUACUGGGCGUAAAGCGCAUGCAGGUGGUUGUUAAGUCAGAUGUGAAGACCCGGGGCGUCAACCUCGGAAUUGCAUUUGAAACUGGCAGACUAGAGUACUGUAGAGGGGGUAGAAUUUCAGGUGUAGCGGUGAAAAUGCGUAGAGAUCUGAAGGAAUACCGGUGGCGAAGGCGGCCCCCUCGGACAGAAUACUGACACUCAGAUGCGAAAAGCGUGGGGAGCAAACAGGAUUAGAUACCCUGGUAG